CAGCAGUAGCCGCGGUAAUACAGAGGGUGCGAGCGUUAAUCGGAUUUACUGGGCGUAAAGCGUGCGUAGGCGGCUUCUUAAGUCGGAUGUGAAAUCCCUGAGCUUAACUUAGGAAUUGCAUUCGAUACUGGGAAGCUAGAGUAUGGGAGAGGAUGGUAGAAUUCCAGGUGUAGCGGUGAAAUGCGUAGAGAUCUGGAGGAAUACCGAUGGCGAAGGCAGCCAUCUGGCCUAAUACUGACGCUGAGGUACGAAAGCAUGGGGAGCAAACAGGAUUAGAUACCCGCGUAGUCCCUGUCUCUUAUAA
RNAcentral lists this ribosomal RNA (304 nucleotides) under uncultured bacterium. RNAcentral's name for it is "partial 16S ribosomal RNA". It matches the Rfam family "Bacterial small subunit ribosomal RNA", at positions 506 to 809 of the family's 1533-position model. The record is from RNAcentral.